AACAAAUUAUCAUAAAAAGUUACAUAUAUUAAAAUACAAGUAUUACAUUUUCUUACUACUAUAUUUUUUUUUGUAAUAGAUACAACUUUCAUAUAGAGAUACAAAUUUAGAUUACCAAAGACACAAAUUAUGUAUACGUGACAAAUAUUUCUGUAAAGCCAACAAAUUCAAACAAUCAGAAGUAUCACAAAUUAUUUUUGCAACUUCUUUACAAGAAUUCUCCAAACACAUAACUACUCCGGUUUCACCUUCAAACAACAUCACCCUUUCAUCCUUAUCGAUUGCGGUGAUUAUAAGUAGAUACAUUCCAAAACCGAGCACACUUUUCUUAACCUCAAUAUACAGCUUCACACCCAUAUAAUUUUGAAUCAACAAUGGAGUUGUAUUACCUUCAACAACAUAUCGAGCCUUAAUUUUUUCGCUAGUUUCAUCAAUUUAAAGUUCAAUGGUAAUCACCGGAAUCAAUUUUUCAUAAUUAACAUAUUUGCCUAUAACGAUGCCAUCACCCUUAUAGCCACGUGUUUGACAUCAUUAAUCCAAACAUCAGAAUGACGUAAAAGAACAAAAAUAUUCAUUGAAAAUAGAUGAAACAGAAAUGAUAAACAAUGAAUAAAAAAAAG
This 620-nucleotide long non-coding RNA is filed under the name Capsicum annuum. RNAcentral's name for it is "long non-coding RNA (CANN_LNC009648)". The record is from RNAcentral. Lineage: Eukaryota; Viridiplantae; Streptophyta; Magnoliopsida; Solanales; Solanaceae.